GGCGCACGGGUGCGUAACGCGUGGGAAUCUGCCCUCAGGUUCGGAAUAACAGCGAGAAAUUGCUGCUAAUACCGGAUGAUAUCGCGAGAUCAAAGAUUUAUCGCCUGAGGAUGAGCCCGCGUAGGAUUAGCUAGUUGGUGUGGUAAAGGCGCACCAAGGCGACGAUCCUUAGCUGGUCUGAGAGGAUGAUCAGCCACACUGGGACUGAGACACGGCCCAGACUCCUACGGGAGGCAGCAGUGGGGAAUAUUGGACAAUGGGCGAAAGCCUGAUCCAGCAAUGCCGCGUGAGUGAUGAAGGCCUUAGGGUUGUAAAGCUCUUUUACCCGGGAUGAUAAUGACAGUACCGGGAGAAUAAGCUCCGGCUAACUCCGUGCCAGCAGCCGCGGUAAUACGGAGGGAGCUAGCGUUAUUCGGAAUUACUGGGCGUAAAGCGCACGUAGGCGGCUUUGUAAGUUAGAGGUGAAAGCCUGGAGCUCAACUCCAGAAUUGCCUUUAAGACUGCAUCGCUUGAAUCCAGGAGAGGUGAGUGGAAUUCCGAGUGUAGAGGUG
RNAcentral lists this ribosomal RNA (551 nucleotides) under Sphingomonas sp. Its description in RNAcentral is "bacterial SSU rRNA". It matches the Rfam family "Bacterial small subunit ribosomal RNA", at positions 97 to 683 of the family's 1533-position model. The record is from RNAcentral. Lineage: Bacteria; Pseudomonadati; Pseudomonadota; Alphaproteobacteria; Sphingomonadales; Sphingomonadaceae.